Molecule: ribosomal RNA, 835 nt
Filed under: uncultured Bacillota bacterium
Lineage: Bacteria; Bacillati; Bacillota
Description: bacterial SSU rRNA
Rfam family: Bacterial small subunit ribosomal RNA
Source: RNAcentral
UUUCCUGUAGCAAUACAGGGAGUGGGCGCACGGCGCACGGGUGAGUAACACGUGGGCAACCUGCCCUUUGGAUGGGGGAUAACCCCGCGAAAGCGGGGCUAAUACCGCAUGAUAUUCAGAAAACCUCGGUUUUUUGACUCAAAGCCCGCAAGGGCGUCUAAGGAGGGGCCCGCGCCCGAUUAGCUAGUUGGUGAGGUAACGGCUCACCAAGGCUAUGAUCGGUAGCCGGUCUGAGAGGAUGGCCGGCCACACUGGAACUGAGACACGGUCCAGACUCCUACGGGAGGCAGCAGUGGGGAAUAUUGCGCAAUGGGCGAAAGCCUGACGCAGCGACGCCGCGUGGGGGAUGAAGCUUUUCGGAGUGUAAACCCCUUUCGACCCGGACGAAUGACCCGCAAGGGUUUGACGGUACGGGUAUAAGAAGCCCCGGCUAACUACGUGCCAGCAGCCGCGGUAAUACGUAGGGGGCCAGCGUUGCUCGGAAUUACUGGGCGUAAAGGGUUCGUAGGCGGUGCGGAAAGUUGGGAGUGAAAUCUCUGGGCUUAACCCAGAGGCUGCUUUCAAAACUUCCGUGCUCGAGUGCGAGAGAGGUCAGUGGAAUUGCAGGUGUAGCGGUGAAAUGCGUAGAUAUCUGCAGGAACACCCGUGGCGAAGGCGGCUGACUGGAUCGCAACUGACGCUGAGGAACGAAAGCUAGGGGAGCAAACAGGAUUAGAUACCCUGGUAGUCCUAGCCCUAAACCAUCAGGACUUGGGGUGGCCCGCGUAGGCGGGUCGUCCCGUAGCUAACGCGUUAAGUCCUGCGCCUGGGGAGUACGGUCGCAAGACUGAAACUC